RNAcentral lists this long non-coding RNA (270 nucleotides) under Cicer arietinum (chickpea). RNAcentral describes it as "long non-coding RNA (CARI_LNC000705)". Lineage: Eukaryota; Viridiplantae; Streptophyta; Magnoliopsida; Fabales; Fabaceae. The record is from RNAcentral.
CCGUUGACUAAAAAAAUUACAAAUGUUUCAAAUACAUAAACUUCAUUGCGACAAAAACAUUGCAAUACGAAAGGGAGGAUAAAUAAAAUUCUUAAAUAAAAUCAUAAACUGAUCGUUAAUCUAACUAAGGGUGAUUGGGUACUGAGAAUCCACGAGUGGCAUCAAGCUUCUCCGAUUACCAAUCCAAAAUCAUCGUUAUGUCACGUCUACAACAUCGUUGCAAUUCCAGCACAACUCAAAACUCUAAUAACCUAGGGCGUAAGCCCGGCC